AUGGAUCCAACCAUCCCAGCCUUGGGUACAGAACUGACAUCAAUCAAUAGGACCGAGGAGACCCAUCUUCAACAUUGUGGCAUGGAGAUCAUGAUCCUCAUGUUGCUGCUCCUCAUCGUUGACCUGGUCCAGCUGGCAGGAAAUGCAGUCAUUUCCUCUGGCUCCUGGGAUUCCGCCUGCACAGGAACACCUUCUCCCUCUACACCCUCAACCUGGCCGGGGCCGACUUCUUCCUCUGCUCCCAGAUUUUAGAAAUUGUGAAUUUCUACCAUGACUUCUUCCUUUCCAUCUCCACCUAUUUCACCACUGUGAUGACCUUUCUCUACUUUACAGGCCUGAGCAUGCUGGGCUCCAUCAGCACCAAGCACUGCCUGUCCAUCCUGUGGCCCAUCUAGUACCGCUGCCACCACCCCACACACCUGUCAGCAGUCGUGUGUCCUGCUCUGGGCCCUGUCCCUGCUGCAGAGCAUCCUGGAAUGGAUGUUCUGUGGCUUCCUGUCUAGUGGUGCUGAUUCUGUUUGGUGUGAAACAUCAGAUUUCAUCACAGUCACAUGGCUGAUUUUUUUAUGUGUGGUUCUCUGCGGGUCCAGCCCGGUCCUGCUGGUCAGGAUCCUUUGUGGAUCCCGGAAGAUGCCCUUGACCAGGCUGUACAUGACCAUCCUGCUCAGAGUGCUGGUCUUCCUCCUCUGUGACCUGCCCUUUGGCAUUCAGUGAUUCCUAUUUUUCUGGAUCCACGUGGAUUUGUCACGUUCGUCUAGUUUCCAUUUUCCUGUCCACUCUUAACAGCAGUGCCAACCCCAUUAUUUACUUCUUCAUGGGCUCCUUUAGGCAGCUUCAAAACAGGAAGACUCUCUAGCUGGUUCUCCAGAGGGCUCUGCAGGACACGCCUGAGGUGGAAGAAGGCAGAUGGCGGCUUUCUGAGGAAACCCUGGAGCUGUCAUGAAGCAGAUUG
This 952-nucleotide long non-coding RNA is filed under the name Homo sapiens (human). RNAcentral describes it as "non-protein coding lnc-MRGPRX1-1:1". The record is from RNAcentral. Lineage: Eukaryota; Metazoa; Chordata; Mammalia; Primates; Hominidae.